CACAGACCUCUCCAUGGACGGCUGCAGCUUCCCUGGGUGUUUUUGACCCACCGGUGUCGUCCGAAGCAGCUCCUUCCCUCACGGCCCUUUGUGGCAUCUCAGCCGUACCCUCGCCCCACUCCCCAAACUAUUUCGAAGCAAACAUAGAACGAAGCUGAAAACGUUGUGAAUUUAGUGAAAAGCCCAAAGCAGGAUGGACAAAUAACGCGGAAAAUGCUCUCUUUCUGAACAAUUCAGCACUUUGGGAGUGGACAGGACAGGAAUCUACAACAGUGCCCAGCAUUCAAGUAGCCAGGGAGGUCUGUGGGCUUCAGGACAGUGGCACAAUGAAAACAACAAUCAGAGUAAAUAAAUAAAACAACAUAACUGUAAAUAUUCUGUAAGAGUUUAUUUGAGAGCUUAGCAACAUUUCACUGCUACUUUGAUACAUGUGUACGACUCAGUAAGUUGGGUUGGAAAAGGUAAUUCCGGAGAUUGGUAACGCUAUACAGCCUAUUGUUGAGAAUGUGAUCAACUUCUAUUUUAUAAUCAGUAUCCCAAAGUAAUAACACCAAAACUGCCAGCAGAACAAAAACACACAAACAAACAAACAAAAAAACUCACCCUGAUCCAAAGUACAAAUAAAUAAUAUUCUGUUAUGUAAUAGAAAGCCCAAACAGUCCGUGGUUUCAAGAAUGGCGAUGAAGCACAAGGAAAUACUGUUUUAAAAUCUCCUUUGCAAUAGGAAAAUCUGUAAAUAGGGAAAGUGAGCAGACAGGAAAUUGAGAAGUUAUAACUGAGUUUAAGUUAUCUCAAAGCAAUCGAUUAACUACCUCCAGGAGAUGGGAAAUAGUAUAUAUAUGUUCUCAAAUUCAGAGUCCUGGCUCCAGAGACAUCCAACAUCUUCAAAUCUCAAUCAAGAAAACCCUUUUAUAAGCUCUUUCACACCUCAUUUCUGGUUAUUUCACCUUGCAAAUGGCUCUCGUGAAUCUUGAAGGUCUUAGGAGAACAAAGAAGUUUCCUUUUGUGUUCUUCAAAUUAGAAACUUACUGCAGUCUUCAAGUCAGAUAUUGGAAAAGUCAGUCUUAAAGAACGAAGUAUGUUAAGGUUUACAACUAGGAUGUUUUUUUAUAUCACAUUUUAUAUUAAUUUUACAAGCCAC
This 1141-nucleotide long non-coding RNA is filed under the name Gallus gallus (chicken). RNAcentral describes it as "long non-coding RNA NONGGAT007787". Lineage: Eukaryota; Metazoa; Chordata; Aves; Galliformes; Phasianidae. The record is from RNAcentral.